Non-coding RNA from Desmophyllum pertusum, 74 nucleotides. The record is from the annotation of a GenBank genome assembly. NCBI's taxonomy places the organism in Eukaryota, Metazoa, Cnidaria, Anthozoa, Scleractinia, Caryophylliidae.
GACGCGGCGUCGUUAUGGUUAGCGCGUUGGACUCCGGAUCAAGCGGUCCGGGUUCGGGCCCUGGCCGCGAGUCA